CUCACCUGCAGCCAGGACCCACAGCAUCACAUCCCCCAAACCAUAGUUUCCCAGGAGAUGCGAGGAGGCAACAGAAAAAGUGCUGGCACGGGGCGUUAUCCAGCUGUGGGUUUCCAUCCGGGAACUGCUGCUCACCGAUCCCCUUGCUCUUCCCCGCAGGGCUCUGCGUGAUGAGCGGCGCGGCCAUCUUCACAGUGAGGCACACGGACUGGCACCAAGCCUCGGAAAACACCUCCUAUGGCUUCGCCUAUAUCCUGGCGUGGCUCGCCUUCCCCCUGGCCCUCGCCAGCGGCAUCGUCUACGUCAUCCUACGGAAGCGCGAGUGAUGCCGCAGGAGGCGCAACCGGGGCACUCAUGACGUCCACGGAGGAGACGGAGGCGGGGGAAAAUAGACGAGAAAACGGAAAAGAAAAUUAACCAAAAAAAAAAAAAAAAAAAAAAAAAAAAAAAAAAACCCCCCCCCAAAAAAAAAAAAANNNNNNNNNNACCGACCCCAAAAGGAAACACUCAAAGGGUUACUUGUUAAUUGAGGAUGUAUAUAGUAUCUAUGGUUUAAAAAACCUAUUUAUAACACUUUUUACAUAUAUGUACAUAGUAUUGUUUGCUUUUGUUGACCAUAUGCUAUGUUUUAAAGCCUAAAGAAAGUGCCUAAGGAAUUAUUACUCCUAACAGUGUAACAAGAGCGCGGUGAUUUUUCUCUCAUGCAAGCCCUUUGUGAUCUGAGCUCUCCUUCCCCACCCCAGCCGUGCCAUUGGAGCCCCCCAGCUCUGGCUGCUGUCUCUCUGGCACUGGUCGGUGCCGCUCCGCAGAGCAGCGGGGAGUUACGCCUGGUGAUGUCGGCCGGAGAGCGCAGUGAUUUUUCUCUCAUGCAAGCCCUUUGUGAUCUGAGCUCUCCUUCCCCACCCCAGCCGUGCCAUUGGAGCCCCCCAGCUCUGGCUGCUGUCUCUCUGGCACUGGUCGGUGCCGCUCCGCAGAGCAGCGGGGAGUUACGCCUGGUGAUGUCGGCCGGAGGCUUGGCCCCUGCUCCUCCUGCCCACUGAGAUUUUGGCGGCUGGAGGGCACGGCCAGGGCUGGCGGAGGCGCUUCCAAAAGGUUCGAAGGGUUUUCGGAGCAAAGGACUGCCCAAAGUGCCUAAAUGACUUAUGUGCCUAAGUCCCAUUGCCUUGCCACCACACCCGCUGGGAAUUUGGGCUUUUAAAUCACUUAGGUUGAAUGCAGGCGAGCGCGGGCUGUGCUCCAUCCAAGCGUGUGCCCAGGGUGCCGGGGGCUGUGUGCGCCCUGAGCCAAGCCCCCGGGCACGGGCUGUCCCCGCCACGCAAUGUGCGUUGUCCUUGCCGUGGAGCUAGAGUACCGAUGAGCAGGAAGCAAACCCCGUAUAUCUAUGAAAUCAAAUGCCAGAUAUAUGAAAUGGUGCUAUCUAUUUACCAUUCCUUAUACUGCUAGCCAUUUAACCUUAUUCACUGGAAAUUCAGUUAACAACCUUGAGGUAAACAACGAAGCUAGAAAUGAGAAAUAAUUCUGUGUAAUAUAAACGAGCUUUAACUGCUUUUGUACUUAGACAACUUGCUCUUACUAUUAUUUUUAAUAAAGCAUUUAUAACCGAGGUUCCUUUCCCCCCGCCCCAUGGUCAAGAGGAACAGAAACAGCUCGGGGUGGAGGAGCCCUGCUGCCCUUCGCCCCUGGAGCACGAUGUCUGUCCUCUGUCUGUGUGUCAGAGAGGUGUCUGGCAAUGAAUUGAGCGGGCACCUGCACAGACCCCAGGCUGCCUUCUGAGGACUCCAGACACUGCGUUGCUGUCGUUGUUUUUGUUUCAUUUAGGGUUUUUUUCUUUUUUUUUUUUUUUUUUGGCUUUGUUUUUUUGUUUUUUUACCGACUGUGUGGACUAAGAAGCAAUGAAAUAAAAGUCAGAAUAACUCCGUUGCUUCUGCUUUUGGCGUUUUGGGGGUUAGAGCCAGGCUGUGCUCUGCCAACCUGCUCACAUGGCCAUCCUGCCGAAGGGCUCAACACCCCGUGCCAUGGUGCUGGUGUGCGCUCCUCUUUCCAGCUUUGUCCUAAGACGUCCCCACGAUGUGGCCACCAAAGCCACACAGCAGGAGCACGUUUGUGUCCUCUCCAUCCCCUAAGCACGAAGGGAUCAGGUCAGCACCAGCUGCCCGGGGGGGAGGGUGUCCAUCCAGCUCCACCACCCUGCACAGACAGCAGAACCCUUUCAGUUCUGUGCCCUGAAAUGCCCAGAGCCUGGGGGUGCAAUUAGGGCCGGGCAUAUUGUGGGCAGUGUGUGCAGCUCCGAUGGCUGGCACGGAAGCAUUUUGCUUCCGUUCACUCAUUCAUCUGGCUAUUAAACAUCCGAGCUGAAGCAGCAACUGGUGCUGGCACCAACACAAUGGCUCUUGCAACACUGCAUGUUGCUAGCAUCAGGCCAGAUCCUGAGGCACGAAACCCAGCCGCAUCCCAAGGGGAAGGAGCAGGAGGUGCCCCCGUGCCUCCCUGAGCGCUCAGCACACAGCCUGGCAUUGCUCUGUGACCGCUUGGCCUGGGGCUCCUGGCUGUGAUUCCCAGCUGGGACGGGAAGAUUUCCCUGGGUGCUUGUUGUGGUGUGUGCUGCCUGAGCCUAGGAGGGUUCUCGUUUGCCCCCGAGCUGCCACAUGGCUGUCCCAUACCCCCCCUCCCUGGGCUUGGCACCAUGCACCCAGCAGGAAGGACACAAAGGGCCCUUCCAGUCCCGUCUGUGCAGCAGGUAGGAACACAGGUGG
RNAcentral lists this long non-coding RNA (2753 nucleotides) under Anas zonorhyncha (Eastern spot-billed duck). RNAcentral's name for it is "lncRNA (ENSAZOG00000015094.1)". The record is from RNAcentral. Lineage: Eukaryota; Metazoa; Chordata; Aves; Anseriformes; Anatidae.